CCUACGGGGGGCAGCAGUCGAGAAUCAUUCACAAUGGGGGAAACCCUGAUGGUGCGACGCCGCGUAGGGGAAUGAAGGUCUUCGGAUUGUAAACCCCUGUCAUGUGGGAGCAAAUUAAAAAGAUAGUACCACAAGAGGAAGAGACGGCUAACUCUGUGCCAGCAGCCGCGGUAAUACAGAGGUCUCAAGCGUGGUUCGGAAUCACUGGGCGUAACGCGUGCGGAGGCUGUUUCGUAAGUCGUGUGUGAAAGGCGCGGGCUCAACCCGCGGACGGCACAUGAUACUGCGGGACUAGAGUAAUGGAGGGGGAACCGGAAUUCUCGGUGUAGCAGUGAAAUGCGUAGAUAUCGAGAGGAACACUCGUGGCGAAGGCGGGUUCCUGGACAUUAACUGACGCUGAGGCACGAAGGCCAGGGGAGCGAAAGGGAUUAGAUACCCCAGUAGUC
RNAcentral lists this ribosomal RNA (446 nucleotides) under uncultured bacterium. RNAcentral describes it as "partial 16S ribosomal RNA". It matches the Rfam family "Bacterial small subunit ribosomal RNA", at positions 338 to 795 of the family's 1533-position model. The record is from RNAcentral.